AUUGAACGCUGGCGGCAUGCUUUACACAUGCAAGUCGAACGGCAGCGCGGGCUUCGGCCUGGCUGCGAGUGGCGCACGGGUUAGUAAUGCAUCGGAACGUGCCCAGCAGUGGGGGAUAGCACGGCGAAAGCCGGAUUAAUACCGCAUACGACCUGAGGGUGCAAGCGGGGGACCGAAAGGCCUUGCGCUAUUGCAGCGGCCGAUGUCGGAUUAGCUAGUUGGUGGGGUAAAGGCUUACCAAGGCGACGAUCCGUAGCUGGUCUGAGAGGACGACCAGCCACACUGGGACUGAGACACGGCCCAGACUCCUACGGGAGGCAGCAGUGGGGAAUUUUGGACAAUGGGGGCAACCCUGAUCCAGCCAUGCCGCGUGCGGGAAGAAGGCCUUCGGGUUGUAAACCGCUUUUGUUCGGGAAGAAAUCCUCUGGGCUAAUACCCCGGGGGGAUGACGGUACCGGAAGAAUAAGCACCGGCUAACUACGUG
RNAcentral lists this ribosomal RNA (484 nucleotides) under uncultured bacterium. Its description in RNAcentral is "partial 16S ribosomal RNA". It matches the Rfam family "Bacterial small subunit ribosomal RNA", at positions 28 to 507 of the family's 1533-position model. The record is from RNAcentral.